GACUCAGGGACCUCCUCCAUCAGUUCCGUGGUAGAGAAUGGAGCACUUCCGAACCCCCCAGAGGAUUGGCUGCCCUGCGCUUCCUACACAGGUACGUGGCUGGAUUUGCUUUGCUCAAGUCUACAAAUCAAUUUAGAAGCACCCUAAUCCUCCCCGGGAUGACAAACAAGAAGAAGCAACACAGAACACCAGUGAGAAAACAGCCCUGAGGUCAGGAAACCAUGCUAAGUCUGCUACCAAUCAGUAACAUGAACUUGAAAAGUCACUUAAACUCUGUGGGCUUCAGUCUCCCCUGUGAAAUAGGUAGGUGGGACUUGAUCAACUUGCAGGAAAGGAAGUCUUUCCAGCACAGAGAAAUGGGGGUGGCUUUGCCAGCAUAGCCCACACAGCCACGCAUCUCAUGGUGUUCAACCUUCCAGCACUCAGAAUCCCCUUGUUACAUGAAUACCUGGGUUAUCAGCAAAAUAUGAGCCAAUAACUUGCUAAUAACAGAAGAGUCACUUUUGAGGUAUCAG
Molecule: long non-coding RNA, 515 nt
Filed under: Homo sapiens (human)
Lineage: Eukaryota; Metazoa; Chordata; Mammalia; Primates; Hominidae
Description: HSALNT0083406
Source: RNAcentral